GGCGGAGCGAGCUGGGCGGCGCGCGGCGCGCUGGGACUGUGAGGACACCUCGGCGGAGCCGCUGGAGCCGGCUUGGCUUGAGUGACAACUUCUAUCUGAAUGAUAUAUACAUCUGAGAACUGCUGCUGACUUCUUGAAGAUCCCCUGGAGGAGGAAAUAGCAACCCACUCCAGUAUUCUUGCCUGGAAAAUCCCGUGAACAGAGGAGCCUGGCGGGCUACAGUCCAUAGGGUUGUGAAGAGUCAGACAUGACUGAGCACUUUCACACACAGCACAGCUGGCUGACUUCUUAAAUCUCUUCUCACUCUUAGAUAAGGAGGAAGAAGCUAUUUGGCAGUCAAAGAUGGACAUUUCUCCUAAAGAGGAUAUUGGAAAAGGAAGAACUCCUCAGAAGGUGGAGCUGUGUUCCCUCCCUGCAAUUUACCUGGGGCCAAACUAUGGUGGAGGUAAUGAACAUAAUGGUGACCUCCUUCAAAAGAUCCCAUGCAUGUACUGCUACACUCAGUGCCCCCAACUCUGCAGCAGGCCACCACCAACCCGCGCCUCUGCUGGAGACUCCUGGACACUCACGGGCAAAUCUGGUCCGGCGAAGCGCAGCCGCAGCUCCUGACCUUGGACGUGGGGUAUCUCCUCUCCGCAGCUCACCGCUCCAGCAAGUGGGCAUUUAGGUUGCUUCUAUGUCUUGGCUGUUGUAAAUAUUGCUGCAACAAACAUUGGGGUACAUGUAUCCUUUUGAAUUAUGGUUUUCUCCAGAUAUAUGCCCAGGAGUGAGAUUGUUAGAUCAUAUGGCAUCUCUGUUUUUAGUUUUUAAAGGAAGCUCCAUAUUGUUUUCUAUAGUGACUGCAACAAUUUACAUUCCCAACAAUAAUGUAAGUGGAUUCUCUUUUCUCCACACCAUCCAGCAUUUGUUAUUUGAAGACUUUUAAUUUUUUAUUUUAUUUAUUUAUUUUUGGCUGUGCUGGGUUUUCAUUGCUUUUGCAUGGGCUUUCUCUAGUUGCCACAAGUGGGGGCUGCUCUCAGGUUGCAGUGCUCAGGCUUCUCACUGGGGUGGCUUCUCUUGUGGAGCACAGGACCUAGGCUCUAGGCAAGCGUGCUUCAGCAGUUGCAGCAUGCAGAAGGAGUGGUUGUGGUGUGUGGCUCUAGGGCACAUGGACUUCAGUAGAUGUGGCACACAGGCCCCAGAGCGCAGGCCUAGUAGUUGUGGUACAUGAGCUUAGCUUCUCUGCAGCACGUGAAAUCUUCCUGGACUAGGGAUCGAACCUGUGUCCUCUGCAUUGGCAGGCAGAUUCCCAUCCACUGCACCACCAGAGAAGUCCUAUUUGAAAACUUUCAAAUGAUGGGCAUUCUUAUCAGCAUGAGAUGGAGCAAACCCAUCUUUGAUCAACUGAGAUGGCAUAUAAAAGAAAUGACUGUCUACUCCAGGAACUUAUAAUUUAACAAUCACCUUUAUCUCCCAUCUCCAAGGACUGCUGAUAGUGGAUCAAAUCAAACCAUCACUUUGGAGAUAAGACUUUGCUGAGACGGAAGGAAGAAAAGUUCAUGAGGAGCUGCUUUGGAAGCUAUGCAAAGAGUAAGAGAUGCAAGGGAUGGAUUAUGGUGACCCUGACUUAUUUCCCCAGCUUCUGAGAAUGCUGCUGGAAGAUGAUCCUCAGCUGUCAACCUUCUGUAGGAAUUUCCUCAGAAGAAAACUGCCUUGCCCAAGGUCAUGACUCCUUUCCAGGAUAGCUGGUAUCCUGUGAUCCAUCAGAGUGGGAAUAUAAAGGUCUGACCCCAUGUUCCAACUCAGGACAGUUGUGAAGGGCUGUCCCACCUGCACAGCUACAUGUGGGGUCAGCUGAGGCUUCACUGGGACUGCAUUACGGCUCAGCUUCUACCUCUGCCCGAUCCUACUUCAUUCUCUUCUCUUCCAUGAGUAUUGAUCCUGAAUGCACUCCUCAGUAAGCUUCACACACACUAAUCUCCUCAAGCUCUGCUUCUGAGGAAAUCCAACUGGAGACAAUAGAAUAUUGUCUCCAGUACCUGAACUCACUACAUGCUUGUAACCAGGCAUAUAACUAAUUACAGUUCCUCAACAUGCCAAAAGGAUCUGUACAUGUUCUCCCUGCCUCAGGUACCCAGGCCAUUUUGGUCAGGCCAACUCACAUUCAUGCUCCAAGACUAAGCUCCAGACAGUUUUACCACCUCCUUGAAGCCUCCUCUAACCCCACUGCCAUUCCCAACAUGUGCUCUUCCAGAAGCCUGUGCCUCCUUUGAGCACAUAUUUCACUGUACCAAUCUGGAAUUAUAGAUUUACUUGUCUGUACAAGACUGAGACUUCCUUAAACUCAACAUUUGUCUGGUCUUUCAUUUUUGUAUUCUAAUGCUAAUACAGGGCAUCUGAUAAUGAUGGGCAUUCAAUAAAUGUUUUUUAAAUGACUGAAUGGAAUAGAGACUUUUCUCUAUGUCACAGGCAAAUGUUUAUGUAAUAUAGAUUUGAAAAUAUAGAUUUUGGAGCCAGCCUGUCU
Long non-coding RNA from Bos taurus (domestic cattle), 2503 nucleotides. Lineage: Eukaryota; Metazoa; Chordata; Mammalia; Artiodactyla; Bovidae. The record is from Ensembl.